RNAcentral lists this transfer RNA (87 nucleotides) under Burkholderiales bacterium. RNAcentral describes it as "tRNA-Leu". It matches the Rfam family "tRNA". Rfam says of the family: Transfer RNA (tRNA) molecules are approximately 80 nucleotides in length. Their secondary structure includes four short double-helical elements and three loops (D, anti-codon, and T loops). Further hydrogen bonds mediate the characteristic L-shaped molecular structure. tRNAs have two regions of fundamental functional importance: the anti-codon, which is responsible for specific mRNA codon recognition, and the 3' end, to which the tRNAs corresponding amino acid is attached (by aminoacyl-tRNA synthetases). tRNAs cope with the degeneracy of the genetic code in two manners: having more than one tRNA (with a specific anti-codon) for a particular amino acid; and 'wobble' base-pairing, i.e. permitting non-standard base-pairing at the 3rd anti-codon position. The record is from RNAcentral. RNAcentral also lists the same sequence under 3 other names. Lineage: Bacteria; Pseudomonadati; Pseudomonadota; Betaproteobacteria; Burkholderiales.
GCCGGGAUGGCGGAACUGGUAGACGCAGCGGACUCAAAAUCCGCCGGUAGCGAUACCGUGAGGGUUCGAGUCCCUCUCCCGGCACCA